Molecule: non-coding RNA, 31 nt
Filed under: Mus musculus (house mouse)
Lineage: Eukaryota; Metazoa; Chordata; Mammalia; Rodentia; Muridae
Source: RNAcentral
UGCAUUUCUGUGUUAUCUGUUUUAUUCUCUG